Non-coding RNA from Cinara cedri, 1447 nucleotides. NCBI's taxonomy places the organism in Eukaryota, Metazoa, Arthropoda, Insecta, Hemiptera, Aphididae. The record is from the annotation of a GenBank genome assembly.
UAUGUGACUGUUUUUUUAAAUUUAUUUAAGUAUGUAUAUUUAAUUCCAAGUUUAAUAUAAUAUAAAAAUAUUUUAAUUUGUUUUCCACAGUUAUUAUACUUUAUUGUUUUAUCUAAGUACUUACUUAUAUUUAUCAACAAGUGGAUAAAUGUAUAAAUAUGGUUUUUUGGGUGAAUAAUUUUUUCUUUACUAUACAUUUUUAAAAUAUCAAGUCUUGGUGGAGGGAAGGCUUUGACUUUAGAAUUAAUUGGUUUUGUAGCAUUUGGAACAUAGGUACCCAGUGGUGUAUUAGAGGGUAUCGUCAAUCAAAACCUUUUUGAACAACAGACAAUAUGUAGGUACUUAUAAAACCCUAUAUUGAUUAAUAAUAACUGAAGCAUCUCCUCGGCAUUUGGGAUUUUUUUUUUUUGGAAUGCAGAAAAAUAAUGGUAUAUCGUAUUCUUGAAAUUGCAAAACCACUUCCGGUUAUAGGUAACAGAGAGCAGUGAAAAAGCAUUAUAGGUGGAAUAAAGACCGACCGAUGUAGUCACUAGGACAAUUUUAAUCGAAAAUAACCCUUGAUUUGUUGUGCAAAACCACGUCGGGUAGUUAACAAGUAACAUAACGGGUAACCUAACCUAUAUAGUUUGACUAUAUAGUCACUCGUAUUACGAAAAUACGUAAGACACCGAAAAUCGUGAAUUUUAUAAAGCAAUAACUUUAAAACUAAUGAUUUCCGUAAAAAAAUUAAUUAAAAUUUAAUUUUGUAUUCUGAGUGUAGCGAAGAAUGUAUUGGUUUUACUAAGAUGUUUAUUUUUGUUUCUUUUCUUUUAUAUUGUAAACAAAAAUUCGACCAAAAAUCUUGCUCAGAUAUAUACGCGCGGCACCAUUUUUGAAAUGGAAAAUUGCUCAGAUGGUAUUUUUGGAAGGUCAUUUUUUGAUUUUCCAAGUGGUUUUCAUAAUAUCUGGGAAAAACCACGAUAAAACUUAAGAAAAACGAGAAAUGUACGAAAAUAAUGCUUUUAUUAUUUUUCAAUUUUGUUAUUUGUUGUAAUUCAUUUAAAAAUAUUCGUAGAGACUCUAUGGACUUAAAAUUUGGACAGAAAUCUUAUAUUUGUCUUUUCUAGACGUGGUAAAAUUUUCAAAAAAUUUAAUCCAUUUUUGAGCUAUUCAUAGAUAUUUUAAUUUUGCAUUAAUUUUAAUUUAAAAGGUUGGAUACAGUGGAAGAAGAUCUCACGAAAAUAGGAGUACGAGAGUGGAGAACAAUAGUUCAUAACAGGGAAGAAUGGAGGCAGAUUGUGAUGGCGGCGAAAACUCUUCAAGAGUAAUAAAUGCCAGCAGAAGAAGAAGAAGGUAGGUACUCUGUGGUAAAAUUGUUACACUCGAACAGAAAUGCUUGACAAUUUAACAGGAGGUUUAUUAGGAGUCUAACUUUGUAGUUGAAAAAAAACAAAUUGAGUUUAAUGUA